AGAACGAACGCUGGCGGCAGGCUUAACACAUGCAAGUCGAGCGCCCCGCAAGGGGAGCGGCAGACGGGUGAGUAACGCGUGGGAACAUACCCUCCGGUUCGGAAUAGCUCAGGGAAACUUGGAUUAAUACCGGAUACGGCCUAGCGGCGAAAGAUUCAUCGCCGGAGGAUUGGCCCGCGUCUGAUUAGCUAGUUGGUGGGGUAAUGGCCCACCAAGGCGACGAUCAGUAGCUGGUCUGAGAGGAUGAUCAGCCACAUUGGGACUGAGACACGGCCCAAACUCCUACGGGAGGCAGCAGUGGGGAAUAUGGGCAAUGGGCGCAAGCCUGAUCCAGCCAUGCCGCGUGAGUGAUGACGGCCUUAGGGUUGUAAAGCUCUUUCGCUAGGGACGAUAAUGACGGUACCUAGACAAGAACGCCCGGACUAACUUCGUGCCAGCAGCCGC
Molecule: ribosomal RNA, 444 nt
Filed under: uncultured bacterium
Lineage: Bacteria
Description: SSU rRNA
Rfam family: Bacterial small subunit ribosomal RNA
Source: RNAcentral